This 406-nucleotide ribosomal RNA is filed under the name uncultured bacterium. RNAcentral describes it as "partial 16S ribosomal RNA". It matches the Rfam family "Bacterial small subunit ribosomal RNA", at positions 30 to 526 of the family's 1533-position model. The record is from RNAcentral.
AUUGAACGCUGGCGGCAGGCCUAACACAUGCAAGUCGAACGAGUGGCGGACGGGUGAGUAAUGUCUGGGAAACUGCCUGAUGGAGGGGGAUAACUACUGGAACCGGUAGCUAAUACCGCAUACCAUCAGAUUUGCCCAGAGGGGAGUAGCUAGUUGGUGGGGUAACGGCUCACCAAGGCCACGAUCCCUAGCUGGUCGGAGAGGAUGACCAGCCAAAUUGGAACUGAGAAACGGUCCAGACUCCUACUGGAGGCAGCAGUGGGGAAUAUUGCACAAGGGGCGCAAGCCUGAUGCAGCCAUGCCGCGUGUAUGAAGAAGGCUUUCGGGUUGUAAAGUACUUUCAGCGGGGAGGCGUUACCCGCAGAAGAAGCACCGGCUAACUCCGUGCCAGCAGCCGCGGUAAUAC